This 844-nucleotide ribosomal RNA is filed under the name Distoseptispora tectonae. RNAcentral's name for it is "partial large subunit ribosomal RNA". It matches the Rfam family "Eukaryotic large subunit ribosomal RNA", at positions 87 to 959 of the family's 3401-position model. Lineage: Eukaryota; Fungi; Ascomycota; Sordariomycetes; Distoseptisporaceae. The record is from RNAcentral.
CGGCGAGUGAAGCGGCAACAGCUCAGAUUUGAAAUCUGGCCUCUUUGGGGUCCGAGUUGUAAUCUGUAGAGGAUGCUUUUGGCGACGCGCCUUCCGAGUCCCCUGGAACGGGGCGCCAGAGAGGGUGAGAGCCCCGUAUGGUUGGACGCCGAACCUCUGUAAAGCUCCUUCGACGAGUCGAGUAGUUUGGGAAUGCUGCUCAAAAUGGGAGGUAAAUUUCUUCUAAAGCUAAAUACCGGCCAGAGACCGAUAGCGCACAAGUAGAGUGAUCGAAAGAUGAAAAGCACUUUGAAAAGAGGGUCAAAUAGCACGUGAAAUUGCUGAAAGGGAAGCGCUUGUGACCAGACUUGCGCCCGGUUGAUCAUCCAGCGUUCUCGCUGGUGCACUCUGCCGGGCUCAGGCCAGCAUCGGCUCUCCCAGGGGGAUAAAGGUCGCGGGAACGUAGCUCUCUCCGGGGAGUGUUAUAGCCCGUGGCGGAAUGCCCUUAGGGGGGGCCGAGGCCCGCGUUCGCAAGGAUGCUGGCGUAAUGGUCACCAGCGACCCGUCUUGAAACACGGACCAAGGAGUCAAGCAUUAGGGCGAGUCUUUGGGUGCAAAACCCGCAGGCGCAAUGAAAGUGAACGGAGGUGAGAGCUUCGGCGCAUCAUCGACCGAUCCUGAUGUUCUCGGAUGGAUUUGAGUAAGAGCCUUACCGCUUGGACCCGAAAGAUGGUGAACUAUGCCUGAAUAGGGUGAAGCCAGAGGAAACUCUGGUGGAGGCUCGCAGCGGUUCUGACGUGCAAAUCGAUCGUCAAAUUUGGGCAUGGGGGCGAAAGACUAAUCGAACCAUCUAGUACUGGUACCA